AUUGAACGCUGGCGGCAUGCCUUACACAUGCAAGUCGAACGGCAGCACGGGAGCAAUCCUGGUGGCGAGUGGCGAACGGGUGAGUAAUAUAUCGGAACGUGCCCAGUCGUGGGGGAUAACGUAGCGAAAGCUACGCUAAUACCGCAUACGAUCUACGGAUGAAAGCGGGGGAUCGCAAGACCUCGCGCGAUUGGAGCGGCCGAUAUCAGAUUAGGUAGUUGGUGAGGUAAAGGCUCACCAAGCCGACGAUCUGUAGCUGGUCUGAGAGGACGACCAGCCACACUGGGACUGAGACACGGCCCAGACUCCUACGGGAGGCAGCAGUGGGGAAUUUUGGACAAUGGGCGCAAGCCUGAUCCAGCAAUGCCGCGUGCAGGAUGAAGGCCUUCGGGUUGUAACUGCUUUUGUACGGAACGAAACGGUGAGCUCUAAUACAGUUUGCUAAUGACGGUACCGUAAGAAUAAGCACCGGCUAACUACGUG
Molecule: ribosomal RNA, 483 nt
Filed under: uncultured bacterium
Lineage: Bacteria
Description: bacterial SSU rRNA
Rfam family: Bacterial small subunit ribosomal RNA
Source: RNAcentral